GGUAAUACGGAGGGGGUUAGCGUUGUUCGGAAUUACUGGGCGUAAAGCGCGCGUAGGCGGAUUAGAAAGUUGGGGGUGAAAUCCCGGGGCUCAACCUCGGAACUGCCUCCAAAACUGCUAGUCUAGAGUUCGAGAGAGGUGAGUGGAAUUCCGAGUGUAGAGGUGAAAUUCGUAGAUAUUCGGAGGAACACCAGUGGCGAAGGCGGCUCACUGGCUCGAUACUGACGCUGAGGUGCGAAAGUGUGGGGAGCAAACAGGAUUAGAUACCCUGGUAGUCCACACCGUAAACGAUGAAUGCCAGUCGUCGGGUAGUAUACUAUUCGGUGACACACCUAACGGAUUAAGCAUUCCGCCUGGGGAGUACGGUCGCAAGAUUAAAACUCAAAGGAAUUGACGGG
This 398-nucleotide ribosomal RNA is filed under the name uncultured bacterium. RNAcentral describes it as "bacterial SSU rRNA". It matches the Rfam family "Bacterial small subunit ribosomal RNA", at positions 519 to 917 of the family's 1533-position model. The record is from RNAcentral.